This 1372-nucleotide ribosomal RNA is filed under the name uncultured bacterium. Its description in RNAcentral is "bacterial SSU rRNA". It matches the Rfam family "Bacterial small subunit ribosomal RNA", at positions 28 to 1381 of the family's 1533-position model. The record is from RNAcentral.
GAUGAACGCUGGCGGCGUGCCUAAUACAUGCAAGUCGAGCGAACAGACGAGGAGCUUGCUCCUUUGACGUUAGCGGCGGACGGGUGAGUAACACGUGGGUAACCUACCUAUAAGACUGGGAUAACUUCGGGAAACCGGAGCUAAUACCGGAUAAUAUUUCGAACCGCAUGGUUCGAUAGUGAAAGAUGGCUUUGCUAUCACUUAUAGAUGGACCUGCGCCGUAUUAGCUAGUUGGUAAGGUAACGGCUUACCAAGGCAACGAUACGUAGCCGACCUGAGAGGGUGAUCGGCCACACUGGAACUGAGACACGGUCCAGACUCCUACGGGAGGCAGCAGUAGGGAAUCUUCCGCAAUGGGCGAAAGCCUGACGGAGCAACGCCGCGUGAGUGAUGAAGGUCUUCGGAUCGUAAAACUCUGUUAUUAGGGAAGAACAAACGUGUAAGUAACUGUGCACGUCUUGACGGUACCUAAUCAGAAAGCCACGGCUAACUACGUGCCAGCAGCCGCGGUAAUACGUAGGUGGCAAGCGUUAUCCGGAAUUAUUGGGCGUAAAGCGCGCGUAGGCGGUUUUUUAAGUCUGAUGUGAAAGCCCACGGCUCAACCGUGGAGGGUCAUUGGAAACUGGAAAACUUGAGUGCAGAAGAGGAAAGUGGAAUUCCAUGUGUAGCGGUGAAAUGCGCAGAGAUAUGGAGGAACACCAGUGGCGAAGGCGACUUUCUGGUCUGUAACUGACGCUGAUGUGCGAAAGCGUGGGGAUCAAACAGGAUUAGAUACCCUGGUAGUCCACGCCGUAAACGAUGGGUGCUAAGUGUUAGGGGGUUUCCGCCCCUUAGUGCUGCAGCUAACGCAUUAAGCACUCCGCCUGGGGAGUACGACCGCAAGGUUGAAACUCGAAGGAAUUGACGGGGACCCGCACAAGCGGUGGAGCAUGUGGUUUAAUUCGAAGCAACGCGAAGAACCUUACCAAAUCUUGACAUCCUUUGACCCUUCUAGAGAUAGAAGUUUCCCCUUCGGGGGACAAAGUGACAGGUGGUGCAUGGUUGUCGUCAGCUCGUGUCGUGAGAUGUUGGGUUAAGUCCCGCAACGAGCGCAACCCUUAAGCUUAGUUGCCAUCAUUAAGUUGGGCACUCUAAGUUGACUGCCGGUGACAAACCGGAGGAAGGUGGGGAUGACGUCAAAUCAUCAUGCCCCUUAUGAUUUGGGCUACACACGUGCUACAAUGGACAAUACAAAGGGCAGCGAAACCGCGAGGUCAAGCAAAUCCCAUAAAGUUGUUCUCAGUUCGGAUUGUAGUCUGCAACUCGACUACAUGAAGCUGGAAUCGCUAGUAAUCGUAGAUCAGCAUGCUACGGUGAAUACGUUCCCGGGUCU